GGACGAACGCUGGCGGCGUGCCUAAUACAUGCAAGUAGAACGCUGAAGGAGGAGCUUGCUCUUCUGGAUGAGUUGCGAACGGGUGAGUAACGCGUAGGUAACCUGCCUGGUAGCGGGGGAUAACUAUUGGAAACGAUAGCUAAUACCGCAUAAUAGCAGUUGUUGCAUGACAACUGUUUAAAAGGUGCAAUUGCACCACUACCAGAUGGACCUGCGUUGUAUUAGCUAGUUGGUGGGGUAACGGCUCACCAAGGCGACGAUACAUAGCCGACCUGAGAGGGUGAUCGGCCACACUGGGACUGAGACACGGCCCAGACUCCUACGGGAGGCAGCAGUAGGGAAUCUUCGGCAAUGGACGGAAGUCUGACCGAGCAACGCCGCGUGAGUGAAGAAGGUUUUCGGAUCGUAAAGCUCUGUUGUAAGAGAAGAACGAGUGUGAGAGUGGAAAGUUCACACUGUGACGGUAUCUUACCAGAAAGGGACGGCUAACUACGUGCCAGCAGCCGCGGUAAUACGUAGGUCCCGAGCGUUGUCCGGAUUUAUUGGGCGUAAAGCGAGCGCAGGCGGUUAGAUAAGUCUGAAGUUAAAGGCUGUGGCUUAACCAUAGUACGCUUUGGAAACUGUUUAACUUGAGUGCAAGAGGGGAGAGUGGAAUUCCAUGUGUAGCGGUGAAAUGCGUAGAUAUAUGGAGGAACACCGGUGGCGAAAGCGGCUCUCUGGCUUGUAACUGACGCUGAGGCUCGAAAGCGUGGGGGAGCAAACAGGAUUAGAUACCCUGGUAGUCCACGCCGUAAACGAUGAGUGCUAGGUGUUAGACCCUUUCCGGGGUUUAGUGCCGUAGCUAACGCAUUAAGCACUCCGCCUGGGGAGUACGACCGCAAGGUUGAAACUCAAAGGAAUUGACGGGGGCCCGCACAGCGGUGGAGCAUGUGGUUAAUCGAGCACGCGAAGAACCUUACCAGGUCUUGACAUCCCUCUGAUCGCUCUAGAAGAUAGAGUUUUCCUUCGGGACAAAAGU
Molecule: ribosomal RNA, 1018 nt
Filed under: uncultured Streptococcus sp.
Lineage: Bacteria; Bacillati; Bacillota; Bacilli; Lactobacillales; Streptococcaceae
Description: bacterial SSU rRNA
Rfam family: Bacterial small subunit ribosomal RNA
Source: RNAcentral